This is a long non-coding RNA of Phragmites australis (common reed), 547 nucleotides long. RefSeq lists it as uncharacterized. The transcript is spliced from 3 exons. NCBI's taxonomy places the organism in Eukaryota, Viridiplantae, Streptophyta, Magnoliopsida, Poales, Poaceae. The record is from RefSeq and is a predicted model, not a curated record.
GACAAAGAGCAGUAGAACACCAAGAUGACAAGAAUUUCCCUGUUACAUUGAAACAAGAUGGAGUCAGAAACGGAGACAAUAUUAAAUGAAGAGUGGCAAAAUGGGGAGAGGUGGAAAGGUGACAGAGCAAACCAAAAUAAACAAUCAAUGAAAAUCCCACAGGAACUCACCCUCAACUGUUCAUUAGCAAGGUGCGAGAUACCUAGUGCUUGGUAGUGAAAAGAAAAGAGGGAAACCAAGGACUGUUUCGUCAAGGCACAAGUUGUUUCAUCAGACGGCGUCGGCAGUUUUCAAUCGACCGCAAGGAUAGGGCACCAGCUUGAGCCAUUCUGAUUAUCCAAAGUGUUGGCCGACGCCUUCCAUUUAUGCAGUCUUAUUUCCUUCAUGUUGUAAGAUUUAGUUUCUUAAAAGUGGCCCUUUGAUGGCGGUGAUUCAGGGAUGUUGCUCCCCAGGAUUGAACAUUUUAUUUAUUUUUCCUUUAAUUUGUAGUCAAACACUUUGAUUUCAAUAUAUGGGUCUGGAGGCUACCUUCUUUUUCUGGGCUCAA